This 382-nucleotide ribosomal RNA is filed under the name Limosilactobacillus fermentum. RNAcentral describes it as "bacterial SSU rRNA". It matches the Rfam family "Bacterial small subunit ribosomal RNA", at positions 1 to 345 of the family's 1533-position model. Lineage: Bacteria; Bacillati; Bacillota; Bacilli; Lactobacillales; Lactobacillaceae. The record is from RNAcentral.
UUUAUAUGAGAGUUUGAUCCUGGCUCAGGAUGAACGCCGGCGGUGUGCCUAAUACAUGCAAGUCGAACGCGUUGGCCCAAUUGAUUGAUGGUGCUUGCACCUGAUUGAUUUUGGUCGCCAACGAGUGGCGGACGGGUGAGUAACACGUAGGUAACCUGCCCAGAAGCGGGGGACAACAUCUGGAAACAGAUGCUAAUACCGCAUAACAGCGUUGUUCGCAUGAACAACGCUUAAAAGAUGGCUUCUCGCUAUCACUUCUGGAUGGACCUGCGGUGCAUUAGCUUGUUGGUGGGGUAACGGCCUACCAAGGCGAUGAUGCAUAGCCGAGUUGAGAGACUGAUCGGCCACAAUGGGACUGAGACACGGCCCAUACUCCUACGGG